Molecule: long non-coding RNA, 491 nt
Organism: Alligator sinensis (Chinese alligator)
Lineage: Eukaryota; Metazoa; Chordata; Crocodylia; Alligatoridae
Exons: 3
Source: RefSeq, a predicted model, not a curated record
CAGAAAAGGAACACGGGGAUAAUCGAGACCCUAGAGAGAGAUAAAAACGGAAAGAAGUCUAACCUGUGACUGGGAAGGAUGUUGGGCGCUCCGGACUACCUGAAGAUUCAACAGAUCAGAUCCUGACGAACACUGAUACAAAGAAUCAUGCUGCUGUGGAAAGUACAGGAAGAACAAGAAGAUAUUACCCAACACAUUCCCACAGGUCACUGCAGCUUUCCUCACCACCAAUUGUCAUGGAUUUCCUGUGCCAGCAGCAGUUGAAGUUGGGUGGAAGCAGCAGCAGUACAAGAGUGGCUGAAAUUGAUGAAUGAACAGGGGCAGCAGACAGGGGAAGCAGUGUGCUGGGAGCAAGAGGAGGAAAGGGAAGGGGAAGAGGAAGGCAUGAGGCACCAGACACUGCCCUGGGAAAGAAAAAAAGAAGAAAGUCAACAGCUCUUUCUGGGUAACUGACAUUUUCAAGGCCUGCAAUUAAUCAUAUCACAGGAGCA